ACUCGUGCUUCAAAACAUCAUAGUCCCCAAAAGUGGUUCCCUGUAAGGAAAACAAAAUUUAAUGGAGUGAGCUUACGCCCAGUGAGGUACACUCAUGCAGAUCAGUAAAAUUCACAUAAGCACAUAGUUGCUCAGUCCAAACGUUCAACAAGUAAUUCGAACUAACAUUACAUUUAAAUUCAAUAAAAGGAUAUGGACGGCUCUCAAGAGCCCUUAUCCUCGCUUGCCGUACUUGAUCUCACCCCGUUGACCCUCCGUCAACGCUUAAAGAAAUAAUCAAUACCGUAGACCCCACUUUUUCCACUUUUCAUCCACCUCACAUAUCCCUACCGGACCCGAACUCCAACUGUGGAAAAUUGGCAAUACUUGAGUAUACCGGAAUCGAGAGUCUCAUACUACAAGAUUCCAUAUAACAGUCCCCAUUACUCGUCAAUUUUCACAACCAAACCCUUGCCGGCUCGAUUCAAUUGACACCAAUGGAUUUGAGUUCAGUGAUAACAAUAAUGGCCAUUGGAUACUCGUCCAACCGACACCAAUUCAAAUAUAUUCAUAUACCAUUCAAGUAACACAGUCAUAUGUAAGACAUAAAGGGUGAGAGUGAUCAAGUACACCCUCGCUUGAACCAAUUUCAACGGUGCAAAUAAGCAUUCAAGGCAUCAAUUUCAAGUGUAACAAAGCCAUAUAAUAACAAGCAAGUGAGUGGUACACUCACCAAGCAAAUAAAUGAAAUUUCAUACACUUUCGCCCAAAGAGCGUCUUGAAUCACCGUCACGCCUUAAAACAUUCAAACAAGUACAAUGAAACUCGAAUACGAGUCAUAAACCGAAUCCACAUACUACUAAAAUAAGGUUCCAUUAGAACGUAUAAGUACCAAAGUAAGUUAGGGAAAGUCCGGAAAUGAAAGUUAAGCCCUAAAUUUCAAAAACAGUUUUGACGUCGUUUAGCGUAUUGGACACAACUGGCUCUACGAUUAUCGGAUGGAUGUGCAAUUUAUACCGCUUCGAAACUAAGACAGAGGGCUACAACUUUGAUGAAAGCUACUCAGUCCAGUUUACAAUGUAUCUAGGUCAAAUUUACCAAAAUAAUCCCAGAUUUUCCAGUUCGAAAUUUACUGUGAAAUUCAACUAGCAGUCCUGAUUCAUUCAAUCAUAUCUCAGCACAUACGACUCCAAUUCCAGUGAUUCCAAAGCCUUUGGAAAGCUAAGAUACAAGGAUAUAAUUCUUAAGAAGACAUCGACAACCAAAUCAGUAGUAUUCUCGGUCAAACUAACCAAUUACAGAAGCUGAUUAUCAGUUUUGGACAGAAACAGGGCAGCAGGGGUAUUUUGGUCUUUUCACAGGCUACGUUGCUCCGAUUGGGCUGAAAUUUUGUAAGCAAUCAUAAAACAUCAUUCUCUACAACUUUCAUGUUUUACACUAAUGUCAAUUCGACCUCUAACUAGGAGAAACAAUACCGGGCAGAGCAGGGGAAAUUAAAACCCUAAUCUGGAAUUUUCCGCACAACAUGAAAAUUUUCCACAAUUAACUACAAUUUACGCACUAUGGCUUCAUUAUGGACUAUCCCAAGCCAUCAUCCAUAGCCACACCAUACUGAACAUAUAAAAAUAGAAAAAAUCAAUAAUAAAUAUAAAAUUCACCCAUCUCUACCAAAAGUCAAGAAUUCUUCCACAAAAUCACUUAUUCAACUACUAUCAAUCACUAAUUGAACAUUAUCAAGAUCAAAGGAAAGAUUCUUUAACCACUCACCUUGUAAACUCAAGAAAGAAAGCAACUUAGCCCCUUUGCUCCUCAAACCACUUCACCACUCACCUUAAUCCUACCAAGGGAAUGAUUUUUAUGGAGCAAAUCAAAGUUUUAACGGUUGGUUUGUGAGAUCAAUGCAAGAAAUUGAAGAAAGAAGUUGGAAGUUUUCUCUUCUUUUUCCUCCAAGAAAGUCGGCCAAGCGAGGGAGAAAUAAGAUGAUUUUUUGGUCAAUUUUUGGUUAAUUAGUAAAGGUAAGUAAGAUGUCAAAAUCAAGAAUUAAUCACAAGGUGACACUUGUCACCCUUCUUUAAUGCAACUCUAUCCUUUUGUCUUUCCAAUGAUAAUCCAUUUGGGUAACUUCUAAUUAUCUCUUAACACCUGAUAAAUUAAACUCGGUAUACACAACUUAACCUAAUUGGCCGAAUUUUAUCGAACUUUUCGCACUAGCGGGUCCCACGUCCGGUAUACGCUCUUAAUUUCUCAAAAACUAACCGAUACUAGAAAAAUUAUUUAAAAAUUAUAUUUACUCAUAAAAAUUAUCUAGAAAAUUUUUCUAAUAAAGAAAAUGUAGAAAAACAUGCACUUAAAUAGAAUAAAACCUAGAAAAUGAGAAAAUUUACGGGUUCUCACACCCUCUCCCCCUUAGAAGAAUUUCGUUCUCGAAAUUUCUCACCUUGACUCACGAAAAGUUCAGGGUAUUUCUUUUACAUUUCUUCUUCUACCUUCCAGGUAGUCUUUUCGAUCCCAUGGUUUCUCCACAAUAUCUUUACCAAAGGAAUCUGUUUGUUUCUCAACUCCUUAACUUUCCGGUCAAGCAAUUGUACAGGUUUCUCUUCGUAAGUGAGCGAUUCAUCUAUUUCGAUUUCCUCUGGCAGUAAGAUAUGGGAUGGGUCGGGAUAGUACUUCUUAAGUAUCGAGACGUGGAAGACGUCGUGAAUUCGAGAAAGACUGGACGGUAGUUCCAGGCGAUACGCUACUUUACCAACCCUUUGGAAAAUCUUGAAAGGUCCAACAAAUCUCGGUUGGAGCUUUUUUCCUCUACCCGCUGUGAUGCUCCGUAACGGUGUGACCUUGAGGAAAACAUGGUCUGCCACUUCGAACUCCAAGUCUUUUCUUAGAUUAUCUGCGUAGCUCUUUUGUCAGCUUUGAAUUGUUUGGAGUCGUUGUCGUAUUAACUUAAUCUUUUCUCGAGCCUCCUCCAUCCAUGGAAUGGUCGCUGGAUCUAGCGCCUUCCUCUCGCCAACUUCGUUUCAAUAGAUCGGUGACCGACAUUUUCGUCCAUAUAAUGUCUCGUAUGGAGCCAUUUGAAUCGACGAAUGGUAACUGAUGUUGUAAGCAAACUCCACUAAGGUUAUGUGUUGACCCCAGUUACCCCCACAAUCCAGAAUACAGGUCCUUAACAUGUUUUCAAGAGUUUGGAUUGUUCACUCCGAUUGUCCAUCCAUUUGCGAGUGAUAGGUGGUGCUUAAGUUGAGUUUGGUCCCCAGAAUCUCUUGAAAUUUCUGUCAAAACCUAGAUACGAAGCGGGGAUCUCUGUUUGAAACGAUGCUCACAGGAAUGCCGUGUAACCUUACGAUCUCGACCAUGUACACCUGAGCUAAUUUCUCCAUGGAGUAUUUCAUGUUGACAGGUAAAAAAUGGGCCGAUUUGGUUAAUCGAUCGACAAUCACCCAAAUGGUAUUGUGUUCUCGUUGCGUUCGCGGCAAACCUGAAACGAAAUUCAUUGUAAUGUUUUCCCACUUCCACUCAGGUAUCUCAAGGAAUUGUAACAAACCUGAUGAUUUUUUAUGCUCCGUCUUAACAUGUUGGCAAACGAGACAUUUUUGUACGUACAGAGCGAUUUCCUUUUUCAUGUUAUCCCACCAAUAUGUUCCUUUUAGGUCCUGAUACAUCUUGCUACUGCCCGGAUGGAUCGUAUAUUUGGAUCGAUGAGUCUCCUCUAAGAUCUUCGUCUUUAACGUUUCAUCUUUAGGCACCACCACUCGAUUUCGAUAUUUUAGAGUACCUUCGAGACUAAAGUUGAAGUCGGUUGAUUCCCCUUUUUUCACCUUCUCUCCCCACUUUCGCACCAUCGAAUCCUCCUUUUGUGCUUCUUUAAUUCGCUCCAGUAGGGUGGAUGUUACCUUAAUAUUACCAAAAAUCACCUUAUGACUCCCAAGGCAGGGUUUCCACUCGCAAACAGAUUCUAACAAAUCCCACUCUUUGAUCAUUAACCCUGCUAUUUGAGCCUUGCGACUUAAGGCAUCAGCCACCACGUUUGCCUUCCCCGGAUGGUAGUUGAUAGUGCAGUCAUAAUCCUCCAGAAAUUCCAUCUAUUGUCGCUGCCUUAUGUUUAAUUCCUUCUGCGAGAAGAGGUAUCUAAAACUCUUAUGGUCUGAGUACACCUCGAACGUUAUCCCGUAUACGUAGUGUCUCCACUUUUUCAGAGCGAAGACGACGGCAGCUAGCUCCAAAUCGUGGGUCCGGUAGUUCCGCUCGUGGAGUUUUAACUUUUUAAAGGCAAAAGAUAUCACAUUCCGGUUCUGCAUUAAAACGCAUCCUAGACCUUCUCGCGACACAUCGGUAUAAACGGCAAACCCGUCUACUCCGUUAGGCAAGAUUAGAACUGGCACCAUAGUUAAUCUUUUUUUUAGCUCCUGAAAACUCAUUUCGCAUUUGGCAUCCCACACAAACCGACCAUGCUUCUUUGUCAAGUCGGUUAAAGGACCGGCUAGUUUGGAGAAAUCAUUAAUGAAACGCCGGUAGUACCCAGCCAACCCUAGAAAACUACGAAUUUCCGUGGGAUUUUCUGGCCGUUUUCAAUUGGUCACCGCCUCUACUUUCGCCGGGUCAACCGAGAUGCCCUCAUGAGAAAUUACGUGCCCUAAGAAAGAAAUUUUCUCCAGGCAAAACUCGCACUUACUGAACAUGGCGUAUAACUGAUGCUCUCUUAGGGUUUGCAAAAUAAUUCUUAGGUGUUGUUUAUGCUCCUCGCGAGUUUUGGAGUAGACCAAUAUGUCAUCAAUGAAAACAACGACAAAUCAAUCCAAGUAGGGUUUGAAAACCCUAUGCAUUAAGUCCAUGAAGGCGGCAGGAGCAUUGGUUAGUCCAAAGUGCAUAACUGCGAACUCGUAAUACCCAUAUCUCGAAUUGAAAGCGAUUUUCGGGAUAUCUUUCUUCCUGAUUAACAACUGGUAAUACUCUUGGCGAAGGUCCAAUUUCGAGAAAAUCACUGCUCCUUGCAACUGGUCGAACAACUCAUCAAUGUGGGGCAGUGGAUACUUAUUUUUAACCAUGAUAUUGUUCAGGCCCCGAUAAUCGAUACAUAUUCUCAAACUUCCGUGCUUUUUCUAUACAAACAACACAGGGGCUCCCCAAGAAGACCCACUCUCUUAAAUGAACCUCCUCUCCAAAAGGUCUUGUAACUGCAACUUCAACUCCUUAAAUUCAGUAAGGGCCAUCCGAUACGGGGUUUUUGAGAUAGGCGAGAUUCCCGGUAACAGGUCGAUCUUGAAUUCUAUCUCUCUCUCCGGAGGUAGAGCUACUAACUCAUCAGGGAAUGCAUCCAAAAAUUCCCGUACUAUGUGCACAUCCUCUAUCUUCAAUUUAUCCGUGAGAGUGUUGAUUAGAAAGACUAAAACUCCUUGCACCCCUCUAUUUAGUAGUUUUCUAGCUCGAAUGCUUGAGAUCAGGGCGGAUGAAGCUAACUUUCCCCUUAUGUCUAACCUUAGGGUCGCCUCCCCAGGAAUGCGGAAUUCUACCAUCUUUUUCUUACAAUCUAGUUGGGCAUUAUACCUGGCUAACCAGUCCAUACCCAAGAUCACGUCAUACCCCUUGAUGGACAGGCUAAUCAAGUCCCCUAACAACUUUCUCUCUCCUACCCAAACCUCACAGUCCUUAUACACCAUACUAGUAACCAAGCAAUGAUCCCCCGUGGGGUACUAACUUCUAGAUCGUAAGGUAAACUAGCAGGUUUUAUGUCAAUGUCACACAUGAAAUUAGGGUUAACAAAGGAAUAGGUGGCACCGGGAUCUACUAAAACCUUUGUAAAGCGGUGGAAUACAUGGAUCGUACCUUCUACGACCUCAGAGGAAUCUGGAACCUAUUGAGCCUCUAACGAGUACACUCGAGCUGGCACCUUAGGUUUAGUCCCUUCUCCCUUAGCUGGUCCAGCGUUGGUCUUUGACGGUGGUUAACUUCCCUUUCCAUCUUGCUUUAAAAUUGGGCAGGUGGCAAGCUGGUGGUCUGCACUUCCGUAACGCAGACAUUUCCCAUCUUUCUUCUAGCAGUUGUCUUCAGAAUGAUUUGGCUUUCCGCAAUACCGACAAGAUCCACGGGACGCCGAACCUGAACCCCUCUGGAAAUUUCCUCUAUGGCCUUUCCCAACUUGGCCACCUCUAGAUGGAGUUCCUCUGCCUACUCCCGACUGCCGUCCACCUCCAACUCCCCGUCCGUACUUGGGAGGAGCACUCUUCUCCCCCUGUCCUGAACUGCUCCCAGAAAAGUUUCGCUUCUUUGCCUGAAAGUUCCUUACUUGGAGUCUAGCGCUUUCCACCCGUUGGGCUUUCUCCACGGCCUCGCUAAAAGCAUUAACCUGGGCCACUGCGACGUCUUUUUGAAUUUCUAUGUUCAAACCCUGGAUAAAACGCCUUAUUCGCCGCUGUUCGGUCAUGAUCAGUUCCGGAGCAAAUUUGGAUAGACGGGUGAACUGACUCUCGUAUUUCGCUACAGACUGGGUUCCUUGGCGAAGUCGGAUAAACUCAUCUUCCUUCCGUUCCUGGACUAGAGGAGGGAAGAAUUUAGCGUUGAACUCUCACAUGAAAUUCACCCAAGUCCGGGGCGUUUGCUCCCGUUCCUACUUCUGUCGGAUGACGUUCCACUAGGAACGGGCUGCCCCUUCUAACUGGAAGACGGCGAAGGUCACCUGCCUUUCCUCGGUGUAGUGCAAGGCAGCAAAAAUAUCUAUCAUUUUCUCUAACCAUCUUUUGGUUACAUCCGGAUCGGGCCCCUCAAAGAAUUUUGGUGGGGCAAACUUCUGAAAUCUCUCGAGAGCCCUGUCCUCGCUCUCCACGUGGUUGCCAGGGAUCCCAGAGUUGGGGUUAGGGUUUUGACCCUGUUGCUGCAUCACUUGGGCCAGUAAAUUAGUCAUUUGCUGCAUAGCAGCAGCUAUUUGAACGUUGGGGUCAACCCUAAGUUCAGGGUUGGGCCCAAACGAAGUUUCCCCAGCGCCCCUGUCCGACGUGGGUUGCCUACUCCCGCGCCCACGUCCCCGACCACUACGGGUGCCCUCCAUAGAAUCUAUUCAAUCUAAGCAAAUGUAACUAGAAUAAUAAAAUAACAAUACAUGUACAUAAGAAACCAAAAGCUUUUGCAAUAAAGCAUAUACACAUUUCAAAGCAAAGUCACCAAAACAAAGUCAAACAAAGCACAUAUUAACAGUCAGUCAAGUACAACAAAGACAAUCCACAAGGGAACGGCAUCAUCAACAGUCGUAUACACAUCACUAGUCCAAACGUACAAAAAUGGCUAGCUAAAGUUCUUUCCCAAGUCUACCAUUCCCUAUCCAUCCAAUACACAAUAGUCAAAACCAUCCAAAACCCUAAAACUAACGGCUUAGUCCAUCGUCGGGCUAGUGGACCCACCCGACGGGGUGGAUUCACCUCCAACCUCGCCCCCCAUACACGAAGCCUCGUCACUCUUCUCCUCAAGCAAAUCGUCGCAAAGGUUGAAGAUCGACUCGACUCGAACCCUAACUUUCCUAGCUCUCUUAGUUAUACGCUCACGUGCCUCUCCAAAUUGGGCGCAAAGGUCGUCCACCCUAUCUUGACCUUCGAUCACGUCGUACUCUAGCUCCUUGAUUCGCUCCACUUGUUUCUCGUUAGCUGCCCUUAGUUGGUUCACUUCGGCCUCAAGCCUAGCGUUAUCCUUCGCCAACUCCUUUCGUUCUUCUACCACAGCCAACAAUGCGGUGUUAGGGCAGGCUUAAGUGUGAUGACACUCACAACGUCGGAGGCGAUUAGCCGGGCUCCAACGUAUGACGACCCCUCUUGGCCGAAUCUGGUACUUAAUCGUCCGGAGCACUCCACGGGGUCGCUCACCAGUAGGGCUACCCCUAGGCCCACUAUGCCCGUCUAUCCUACACCAAAAGAGUAAAUAAUCAAAAAUAAUCUUAAGAGACACAAUCAAAAUAAUCCUCAAGUCGAGCAUUUUUAACACGCUCAGGCCAAUUCAAAUCUAAACUCUGAUACCACCUGUGACAGCCCCACCUUCCCCCAAGGCGAACCAAAGAGGUUAGCGGACUGCCUGCCCAACUCUCGCCAGAACUAACGGUGCAGUUAAACACGAUCUAAAACGUUCCGAAAAAUAAAGGCGCGCUCAGACAAGUCAAAAUUGCAAAAUGUCCAAAUGAAAAUUCAAAACCGUCGAUGAAUAGUGGGUGUCAUGUCACAUAACUCGAAAAAAUAUUUUCAAACCAAAUAGGACACAUAAACAGGGUUAUACAGUGUUAUACACAUACGUUUGUAAUUUACAAAACAAAAGGAAGAUAAUUAGAUCAAAAUACAUUUAGGAUUUUUCCAACUAUCGAGGAGUUUUAAAAAAUAUAUUAAAACUAACUCAACUCGUGUUUCAAAAUAUCAUAGUCCCCAAAAGUGGUUCCCUGUAAGGAAAACAAAAUUUAAUGGAGUGACCUUACGCCCAGUGAGGUACACUCAUGCAGAUCAGUAAAAUUCACAUAUGCACAUAGUUGCUCAAUCCAAACGUUCAACAAGUAAUCCAAACAUUUAAAUUCAAUAAAAGGAUACGGACGGCUCUCAAGAGCCCUUAUCCUUGCUUGCUGUACUUGAUCUCACCCCGUUGACCUUCCGUCAACGCUUAAAGAAAUAACCAAUACCGUAGACCCCACUUUCUCCACUUUCCAUCCACCUCACAUACCCCUACCGGGUCCGAUCUCCAAACAGUGACAAAUUGGCAAUACUCGAGUAUACCGGAAUCGAGAGUUUCAUACUACAAGAUUCCAUAUAACAGUCCCCAUGGCUCGUCAAUUUUCACGAUCAAGCCCUUGCCGGCUCGAUUCAAUUGACACCGAUGGGGUUGAGCUCAGUGAUAACAGUAAUGGCCGUUGGAUACUCGUCCAACCGACACCAAUUCCAAUAUAUUCAUAUACCAUUCAAGUUGUCGCGCCCCAUUUUUCGCGAUGGAAAAUAAAAGGUGUUUAUAAAAAGAUGGUUUAGAAAAGAUGUGAUCUUAUUUUAAAACAAGUUAAAAGGGACCUAAAAUGGGACUUAAAAAAAAUGCGACAAUUUGGGUCCAAAAUUUAGUCUAAAAGGGUUUUUAAGAAAAAAAUAGGAGUCGCCACUUGGUAUGGAGUUUUGGUGUACCAAGUCACCCAAAAAAUAUUUUUUAACAAAAAUAAAAUAAAUCAAAACCCUUUUUAACAACUCCAGGUCUUUGAAAACAAGAGAAAAUAGGUUCGGGAGUCACGGUUGAAGAAAGGGAAGGCAAAGGUUUAAUUGACUCAAACCUAAGGCACCCUUUCAACCUAGUCUAAGCUAGUUGCUAGAUUUAGUCAAAAUUUUCCUAAUCUAACCCUUAAUUUUAUCAUAUUUGGAUGUUUCCUAUGUGUAUGCAAAUCUAAAUUAAAAAAAAUAUCGAAAGGGACAAAAUGUUCAUUCAAGGGUUUAAUUGAACCAAUCGCAUUAAUUGCGAAGGCCAAAAUGAUUCCUUGAAAGUGUCACGAGUAUGCAAAUGAUGAAAUUAAAAUAAAAGAAAAGAAAUUAAGUUAUAUACAUAUAUAUAAGUGAUCAAAGAAAAGGGAAUGCAACAUAAAGGGUGCGGGAGACAAAGACUCGUGACAUAAUUUUUAUAUACAAGGAUUAAUGGGGUAUUUAAACUAUAGAGUUAUAAUCACCCAUUUUCCAUGUUUGAAAAAUAAUUAUCCUAACAUGAACAAGCAAAUGAACUAGUCUAAAUGAGAUGCAAUUCUAAAUGACAUGAUUAGCACCUAUAGAGGGUAGGGGGUAAUAUAAUAAGGAAUAUCAUGCAAAUAAGAAAAGAUCCUAAAAAUGAAAAUAUGCAUGAAAAUGUAGUGAAUAUCACACAAAGAUGAAUCUAGCGCAAGACGACCUAAAGGGUCUAGCGUUGGACUAGCCCAUUUCUAAAAGUCCUUACUAGCGUUGGACUAGCAAGUAAGCGGAGGGAGAAACCACAACUAGCGUUGGACUAGUGUGGUGACGUCAUGCAUUAACAAUUCAUAGUGAAACAAAUAAAACAUAAAUUAAAACAAAUAAACACAUAAGAGCACGUAGCACAUAACACGUAAACAUAAUAUUUAGAUGCCAAAAUCCUAAGAAAAGCGGAUAAAACACAUAACACAUAAACCACAUAAACACGCAACCUAUCUAUUACAUCGGGGAGCGCCUAACUACAAUCUAAAAGGGAAAAAUAUAAUAAAACAAAUCUAAUUAUCCUAUCUAUUACAUUUUUGAGGUAUUUAAAUGCCUCUUGAAUCAUUGUAAAAAUUAACUAAAACAUAUAUAAGAAAAUUUGAAUGAAUAUUUAAAUCAAAUAAAUAAAGCAUAUAAAAAUAUAAACACAUAGGAACACAUAAGAGCACAUAAGAGCACGUAAUUGACAUUGAAAUAAUAAAAAUAGGGGUACCUCCCGUUUGAAGUGGUGACUAAAUGGAGUUAAAUUGUCCUAUUUAUACUCACAAUGAACAAAAGGAUCAUGGCACCAAUUUAAUAGAAAAAGAAAAUAAUAAUACAAGUACUAAAUUCACACUAAUAUAUCAGACGUAAAGAAAUUUAAGUAAAUCUAAAAAUUCCAAAUUAAGUAUAUUCAAAAGUAGCAUAAUUAGCUAUUAAAGAAAAGAAACAAUCAUAAUAAAGAGAGUCAAAAUUCAUCAGGGACCGAAUUGCAAAAAUUGAAAACUUUUGGGGGACAAAAAUUAUAUUUUUCAAAGCUCAGGGGUCAAAAUUAAAUGAAAGAUAAAAUUCAGGGACCAAAAUUCAAUUAAUUUAAGGACCUAGGUGAAAGGAAUUUAAAAUGUUCUGGGCCACAAUAAAACUACUCCAAAGAUCAGGGGCCAAAGUGCAAAUCGUAACCAGAUCUGGGCAAGAAAAAGGGCAUCGGGCUACUCUUUUUAUUUUAUUUGGGCCAAACCUACCUAAGCCCAACUGAAAACCCAAGCUAAAACACACAGGCCAGCUCGUCUUUUUUAUCCCUCAAACCCAGCCAAAAAACACAUGGGCUCCAAGCUCCUAGCCUAACUGAAACCCAAAAGAAAACAUAAACCAAAGCCCAGCCCCAAAACCUAACAAAACUAGCUCUUGGCCCAACCGAAAAAUAAACAUUAGCCCAAUCCCCUUUUUUCUUUUCUUUUCUUUUUCUUCUUCUUCUACCCUUCCGGUUCUUCUUUUCCUUGCCUGGCCGGCUGAAGCUCCUCGCCACCGCCAACCAUGGCUGACAUGGCGGCUGCCGGCGCCGCCACCGCCGGUCGCCGGCCAUUUUUCCGAUCACAAAAUUUCACCAAAAUACACCCCCUCACUCGAUUUUUCGCGUAGGUUCCAUUUCCGGAGUUAGUUUUUACAAAAAGUGAGCCGAAAGUGGUCAAAAUGCCAAGAAAUCAGUUCAGUUUUUAUUUUUUCAAAACACCAUCUUUCAUCAAAAAUCAUGAAAAUUAUACUACAACACUCUUACAACUCCUACAAUACAAAUAUGAUUUUAUUUUGACAAGAAAAACAACAUAAAAGGACUAAAAUAAAUCAAAACAGUCCCCUAAGAUUCUUUCUUUUCAUUUUGGUAUUUUUUCAAACGGUUAACAUGCAUGCAUAAAAAACAUUUCCUUUUCCUCAAUCUAGUUCAUGCCAUUUCCCAAUUUUCAGCAAUACAACAACAACAAUAAAAACCAGCAAAAGCAAGAUAAAUUAAAAUCAAAAUGCAUCUAAUAUGCUUAAAAAAAAAACUGGAAAAUACCUCAAUGAAAGUGGAAUUGCCUUGGCUGAAAUUUUUUUUGAUGCCUUUCUUUCUUUUUUCGGUAGAGAGCCAAGAGAGAGAGCCGAGAGCCUCCCUUCUUUUUUCCUUGUUUCUGUUUUUGUUUCUUGUCCUCCGUCUGUGAGAGCCGAGAGAGUAGAUUGAGGAAGUAGUUUUUUUCUUUUUUUUUUCUUCUUCUUUUCGGUCCAGCCCAGAGAGAGCCGAGAGCCUUUUUUUUUGUGUCAUUUUUUUCCUCCUUUUUUCAAGAGAGAGCCCAGAGGGAUGGAGAUUUUCUUUUUUUUUUUUCUUUUUGGCUUCCCUGUUGUGUCCUCUGGGAGAGAGCUGAGAGAGGAGAUCGAGGAAGU
This 12059-nucleotide long non-coding RNA is filed under the name Coffea arabica (coffee). Its description in RNAcentral is "long non-coding RNA (CARA_LNC008099)". The record is from RNAcentral. Lineage: Eukaryota; Viridiplantae; Streptophyta; Magnoliopsida; Gentianales; Rubiaceae.